RNAcentral lists this ribosomal RNA (497 nucleotides) under uncultured bacterium. Its description in RNAcentral is "partial 16S ribosomal RNA". It matches the Rfam family "Bacterial small subunit ribosomal RNA", at positions 28 to 507 of the family's 1533-position model. The record is from RNAcentral.
GAUGAACGCUGGCGGCGUGCCUAAUACAUGCAAGUCGAGCGAACAGACGAGGAGCUUGCUCCUCUGACGUUAGCGGCGGACGGGUGAGUAACACGUGGAUAACCUACCUAUAAGACUGGGAUAACUUCGGGAAACCGGAGCUAAUACCGGAUAAUAUAUUGAACCGCAUGGUUCAAUAGUGAAAGACGGUUUUGCUGUCACUUAUAGAUGGAUCCGCGCCGCAUUAGCUAGUUGGUAAGGUAACGGCUUACCAAGGCGACGAUGCGUAGCCGACCUGUGAGAGUGGUCGCCAGCCUGAGAGCGGGACCGGGCCCAAGGGUCCUGAGGGAGGGCGCAGACGGGUACGUGCGGCAGGGGGGGGGAACCGUGCGCAACGGGCCGGGGGGGGAGGUAAGGGCGUCGGGUGCGAAAAAACGUUUUUUGGGGAAAAAACAAAUGUCGACUGAACCGUAGCCGGAUUGACGGUAAUGGAUAAAGAAGCACCGGCUAACUACGUG